This 119-nucleotide ribosomal RNA is filed under the name Rosa chinensis. The record is from RNAcentral. Lineage: Eukaryota; Viridiplantae; Streptophyta; Magnoliopsida; Rosales; Rosaceae.
GGGUGCGAUCAUACCAGCAAUAAUGCACCGGAUCCCAUCAGAACUCCGAAGUUAAGCUUGCUUGGGCGAGAGCAGUACUAGGAUGGGUGACCUCCUGGGAAGUCCUCGUGUUGCCCCUC